This is a non-coding RNA of Parelaphostrongylus tenuis, 73 nucleotides long. The record is from the annotation of a GenBank genome assembly. Lineage: Eukaryota; Metazoa; Nematoda; Chromadorea; Rhabditida; Metastrongylidae.
GCCUUGGUGGUGUAGUGGUAGAGCACGCGUCCCCGGACAGGAUGAAACGCGGGUUCGAUUCCCGCGUAAGGCC